Molecule: ribosomal RNA, 482 nt
Filed under: uncultured bacterium
Lineage: Bacteria
Description: partial 16S ribosomal RNA
Rfam family: Bacterial small subunit ribosomal RNA
Source: RNAcentral
AUUGAACGCUGGCGGCAUGCCUUACACAUGCAAGUCGAACGGUAACGGGCCUUCGGGUGCCGCCGGGUGUCGAACGGGUGAGUAAUACAUCGGAACGUACCCGAUCGUGGGGGAUAACGAGGCGAAACCUUUUCUAAUACCUCAUACGAUCUACUGUUGAAAACAGGGGACCGCAAGGCCUUGCGCGGACGGUGCGGCCGCUGGCAGAUUAGGUAGUUGUUGGGUUAAAAGCUUACCAAGCCGACGAUCUGUAGCUGGUCUGAGAGGAUGAUCAGCCACACUGGGACUGAGACACGGCCCAGACUCCUACGGGAGGCAGCAGUGGGGAAUUUUGGACAAUGGGCGCAAGCCUGAUCCAGCAAUGCCGCGUGCAGGAUGAAGGCCUUCGGGUUGUAAACUGCUUUUGUACGGAAAGAAAAGCCUUCUUUUAAUACAGGAGGGUCAUGACGGUACCGUAAGAAUAAGCACCGGCUAACUACGUG